This is a long non-coding RNA of Podarcis raffonei (Aeolian wall lizard), 167 nucleotides long. RefSeq lists it as uncharacterized. NCBI's taxonomy places the organism in Eukaryota, Metazoa, Chordata, Lepidosauria, Squamata, Lacertidae. The record is from RefSeq and is a predicted model, not a curated record. The transcript is spliced from 3 exons.
CAGGCAGAGGAGAGAAAGCAGGGAAAGGAUCUCUUUGCAGAAAUGGACAUGGAUUCCUGUGAGGCAGAGAGGCCUCCGUUGGACACCAGAGAGAGGCCACUGGGUGACAGAAUGAUGCCGGCAAGACCUCCUGAUCCGUCUUUUCAUGGGGGCAGAAGGGAAGAAGC